GAGUAAAAUUGAAACUUUUAAUGACUUUCUAUGUAGGCUGGUUUUGAAUAGUGCACUAAUAAAAACUCUACUCACUGUUUUGCACCAUGAUCCAGUCAGUGUGAGAGUUGCCAUAGGCUAAAUCUGUGAGUGGAUUAUAGAGCACUUGUUUUGUGCGGGGCACGACUAACUGGCCGACUCGACCUCUGUUGACCACUAUAGUGGUCACUGUCGGCAUGGACUCGGAGGGCUCUGCAUCCUCAUCUCUCGAGCGCCUACCUUUCAACAAUGUCGCGCUGAAAAAACUUCCACUUGACUCCUCCGAAGAACCAGGGUCACGAACGGUGAGCGGAGCAUGCUUCUCCCGCGUCCAGCCACAACCUCUUGUCAACCCCACUUUCGUGGCAGUAUCCGGACCAGCACUCGCUCUGCUUGGGCUAGAUGAUAAGGAAAUAUUUCACGACUUGCUUGGUCCAGAAUAUUUGAGCGGUUCUAAAGUUUUACCGGGCUCGGAGCCGGCUGCGCAUUGUUACUGCGGUCAUCAGUUUGGACUAUUUGCUGGACAGCUGGGUGAUGGGGCGGUGUGUUACCUUGGCGAGGUGGAAGCACCUGCGGACCAACUCGGUUCCAUGCAGCGUGACAACCCAUGUGGGCGAUGGGAAAUACAGGUGAAGGGUGCAGGUGUCACACCUUACUCCAGAGAGUCAGACGGACGGAAGGUCCUUCGUUCCAGCAUCAGGGAGUUCCUGUGCAGCGAGGCCAUGGCCGCUCUGGGCAUCCCCACCACCCGUGCCGCGUCUCUGGUUACAUCGGACCUCUAUGUCAACAGAGACCCCCUCAACAAUGGCCGGCGCCGCCCGGAGAGGUGUUCAGUGGUCCUGCGCAUUGCCCCCUCCUUUAUCAGGUUCGGGUCCUUUGAGAUCUUUCAGUCUCGGGAUGAGUUUUCAGGACGACAGGGUCCCAGUCCAGGGCGUCACGACAUUCGGGCUCUGCUAGUGGACUACGUCAUCGACACUUUUUACCCUGACAUCCAACGAUGCCACAGCAACCGCAAAGAGAGGAACACAGCAUUUUUCAAAGAGGUGACAGUGCGGACGGCUCGUCUGGUGGCCCAGUGGCAAUGUGUUGGCUUCUGUCAUGGUGUCCUCAACACAGACAACAUGAGCAUAUUGGGACUUACUGUGGAUUACGGCCCCUUUGGCUUCAUAGACAGAUUCGACCCAGAGUUUGUGUGCAACGCCUCAGACCGGAGGGGGCGCUACUCAUACCAAGCCCAGCCGUCCGUGUGCCGUUGGAACCUGGCUCGUCUGGCUGAGGCCCUGGGCUCUGAGCUCCAUGCAUCCCAGGCAGGGGCCAUCCUUGAUGAGUUCAUGCCCCUCUAUGAGACCCUCUACCUGGCCAACAUGAGGAGGAAGCUGGGCCUACUGAGGCGGAAGGAACCAGAGGACCAGGAGCUUGUCUCUGAGCUGCUGCAGCUCAUGCACAACACAGGAGCAGACUUCACCAACACCUUCCGCUUGCUGAGUGGCGUGUCCUGCCCUGUGGUGGGGGAGGGGAAGGGGGCCACAGGGGGCCCGGUGGUGGACCUUCUCCUGGAGCAGUGUGUCUCCCUGGAGGAGCUUAAGCGAUUUGGAGAAAAAUCAUACAAGGACAAUCUUGAGCUGGCUAUGGUCCUCUCUAUGGCCCAGACCAACCCAGCCAUGUUUGGCCUGGUGGCAGACCGACCAGAGGUGGCCCAUCAGCUGGAGAAGAUGGACAGACUGAAGGAGCUGCUGAGCACCAAUCAGGACGAGCUGAGGGCAAAGCAGAGAGAGGAUUGGCUACGCUGGAUCAGUCAGUACAGGAAGCGGUUGGUGAAGGAGUGUGAUGGAGCGAGGGAGGUGCGUACCAUAGAGGAAGAGAGGAUCCGUGUGAUGGACAGCACCAACCCACGCGUGGUGCUCCGCAACUACAUUGCCCAGAAUGCAAUACAGGCUGCUGAAAAUGGAGACUUCUCAGAGGUCCGCAGAGUUCUAAAAGUUCUAGAGAACCCCUACUGUGCCUAUCCAGAGUCAGAACUACCUGGUGGGCCUAAAACAUUUGGAGAGAGGUACCAGAAAGGGAUGGAGAAAGACAAAGAGGGAAGGAAGGAUGAGGGGAAGACAGAUGGAAACCAAAAUUGUGUCCCAUAUGACAGCAAGCCUCCUGUGUGGGCACGAGAGAUCUGUGUCACCUGAUCGUCAUAGUGCCUCCCUGACCCCCAAAACUCAACUGACAGUGGAGAAAGAUGUAGAUGGUGUUCCUCAGGACACUGAUCUAGGUCCAUUCCGCUUUUCAAAGAUAGAACCCUGCUCUUUGUUCUGAGUCAGUUGGGUAAAUGUCAAGGGAGGUAGUUCAGAGUGCUCCUGGAUGUCAAUCAGUAGAAUAAACUGAUGGUGAAUGAAGACUCAGGUAAUCAGUCAGUGACCUGUCUGUGUUGGAGAGACCAGGAGCACCCUGGCUGUGUGUCUAUGCGCACACACACACACACACACACUUGAGUUUUGCAUGUAUUUAGAUUAUUUCACACACAGCAUGUAGUGUAUGCAUGAUUGAAGAGAUAUAAUAAAAUACUCAUACAUUCAGAAACAUAAUCAUUGAUCAUCUUACUAACACCCACAAAUAGUUUUUAACCACUGUUCUAAGAUGAAGACCAUCUACACACAAUUUCUCGAAUCCAUAAAUAAAAUGUAUAUCUUAAUAAUACAUCUUAAUACAAGAGGCAAGGUUUCACACAAUGUUAUGUUCAUGUAUAUUAUGUGAUGUGGGGAGAAAAAUGCUUUAAAAGGAGUUUGUUCUGAACUUCGAUGUGCAUUUAAAAAAUGUGUGCAAAGUUUUAUGUACAGCAGGUUUGGAAUUGCUUAUUGAUAACUUGCUGUACCAUGUUACUCUGUCAAAACAGCAAACAUUAAUAAACCUAUCACUACUU
Oncorhynchus gorbuscha (pink salmon) is the source of this 2926-nucleotide RNA transcript. It is a transcript of the gene named protein adenylyltransferase SelO-1, mitochondrial-like, with no coding region annotated. NCBI's taxonomy places the organism in Eukaryota, Metazoa, Chordata, Actinopteri, Salmoniformes, Salmonidae. The transcript has 10 exons. The record is from RefSeq and is a predicted model, not a curated record.